This is a long non-coding RNA of Mya arenaria, 2747 nucleotides long. RefSeq lists it as uncharacterized. NCBI's taxonomy places the organism in Eukaryota, Metazoa, Mollusca, Bivalvia, Myida, Myidae. The transcript is spliced from 11 exons. The record is from RefSeq and is a predicted model, not a curated record.
AAUACCAAGUGCGCCAAUGCCGAAGUAAACCAACACUCUUUAAUGACCUGGUGAGCCAGUAUAUAACAUGGGUGCAGGAGCAGUUGAUCACUAUCUAGAGAGCGACAACUGCAUGGCAGUUGAAAUGGCCUUUGUUUUUGUCGUAGAUGUUGGCAACACUAGCACCAUCCCUGAUAAAAGCCAUGCUGCCAACAACAACACUAUUAUAUACAACACCUUUCACCAUUGUCACAUUCACAAGUCCAACAACAUCAUUGACGCCACUACCGAUGAGGGCCUCCAACUAGUGAUGCUGCCUCUGUCGUUUGGCCCACGAAAAGACAGUCUGAUGGAGAUGGAACCUGUGAGGAUCCUGGGUAAAUCCUUCAACCUGGGUGAAGAUGUUCGGAUCCAGAAUGUCCCCAAUGCAUAAAACAUGAGGUGCUGGAAGAUUGUCCUCCUCGUCUGGAUGUUGGCUGGUGAUGAACACUGCUUUUAGCAAUGGUUUUAUAAUUAACCAUGAUCCACGAGAAGCUUGGUGCAUCUACUGGACAUGCAGUGUGUGGUUCUGGGAAGAUGCUGGGCCUUGGUGAAAGUGUACGGCCAGAACUUUGUGUCUGGCGUCAUCCCGUUAAACCAUUCUGCGGAUCCGACAAGGCUAGGAAGCACAAGGCAUCCAUUCUGAUCAUAGUGGGUUCAUCAAUGCUGCUGACUUUCUCCUGCCAUGACGUAGGCUGGAUGGCACAUGGUUACCACCUUCAAGCAGCUCCAGCACCUCUACCCCGGCGUUGGCUCAUUUCCAGAACUUUUCAGGUCCUUGUUGGUCCCGGUGCUUGGCUUAAAAAGGAGAUGGCAGAUACCCAUGUCAUCGCACAUUCCAAUUUUAGUCUUACGCAGGUUUCUGCAAGCUGUGUUUCAUCCCGAAUGCUGAAAACCCUUGAUGUAAAGAAGAUGAUGUGAGGUCACCUGGGUUAUGAUGAGACGCUUGUGUUUUCAGGAACUCCAUGUUUAAGUUACAAGUUUCUCGUAAUGUAUAAAAGACUAUUUUGAGACUGUGAACGAUGUUGCCCUUGGAGACAGUGGGUUCAAGGCCCCUCCCAAAAAUACUGUUGACAUGAAGACUCCGUCUAGCCAACCAGAGGAAGAGCAGUGCAAUAUUUCUGCACAUGCCAGCUUACCAUAGACCCGGCCCUGUCCACUGAUGGAAGAAGUCCUGUUAGCGUUUUGCAUACAGACAUUUUUAUGUAAAGACGUUGAUGCGAGGUCCUUUGGGUCAUCACAUGAUGCUGGUGUUAAACAAAAACUUUUGACCACUAUUAGUGAGAGAUUGCAGUUUCCGUGCUCAGGCGACAUCUCCUGUUACACCAAUGACUACUGUGUGUUAUCCUCGUGUCAGCAGAAUAAGCUACUAAGCCUGUAAAUGUCUGUCAACGAAUUCACAUGCUGACAGUGUAGAGGGGCAGGUCAUGCAAGCUGAGGGGAAUGAGGCAGGCGUUUCCGGAAUAGCAGCUAACACCGCCAACCCAUCUGUGAAGAUCUGCAGAGCUCUCCCUGGUCGAGGCUAUUGCAAGUGCACUGCAAUUAACAUUGGCCGAGGAACCAAAAUAUAUACAUAUUCACAAUGCAGAGAGGCCGCACCUUUCAUGACGUUUAACCUAGAGUUCUUCACGGGGACCUCCAGCAGUGACGUCAGUGUUGAUGAUGUAUUUUGCCAGCAAUGGAAACUGUUAAAUGAAAUGAACAUUAACUGAUAUCACACACUCAUUUUGUUCAUUGGCACACCAUAGAACUGUGUUAUUUUCUCCUCUGAACUGUGUUAUUGUAAACUGUUUUCAAUUGUUUUGCAAUGAUUAUUAUUGAUUUACAUUUAUGUAUAAACAAGUCACUGAGUAUUGCUAGCAAUACAACAGUUCCCCUCCGGUAAUCAAAAGUACAAAAAAGUACUAAACACUUGUUUUAAAUGAUGUGCAUAGUUUGCUUUUGGCCGGCCCCUAAAAACAAUGUUUAAUAUACCUGGCUUGCGUACUUCUUGAGUUAUCACAGAAUAAUUGUUCACGAGCAAACGGAGACAUUGAAACUAUUUAAUCAUCAUGGAAACCUGACAUGCAUAAUCUCACUAUUCUCACAAAUUUUAUAUACCUAGCUUACAUACUCGGAGUGAUCACAGGAUCCAUUAUUAUUGAUAGACAGAAAUACAUUCACACUAUUUUGUUGCCAUAGCAACCACAUUUCUCUGCGUCAAAUAAGUACUUUUCUAUUUCCCGAGUUUCAUGAAUGUAGCUUUUUAAACUUGGAGUUACAACAAAUGCAGUCAAAAAUGUGUUUUCAUUUUUUUUGUUGCCAUAGUAACCACAAUUGUCCAUUCAUGUACCAAGUCUCAUUCACCAAGCUUGCAUAUUACUUGUGUGACACCAGGUUAUUCAGACGGUGAAACCAUUAAUUCGUACUCAUUAUAUCAACAACAAAAAUGCUACACAUGUUUUACGUAAUUUUAUUGUGUAUCGCAUUAAAUGCAGUUUUAUUAUAGUUACACACAUAUAAGAAAAAAGAUCAGUUUUAAUGACGUAUUAUACCUGGCAAUAAGGUACCUAUGUCAACAAAGCUGUUGGUUCGCAAAUAAACACCUGAUCUUCAAUGAAGUCAAUCAUGUGGUACCGUACGUCAUUAAAUUGUGUUAAACAUGAUCUGUAUAUGAUAAAAAAAUCACAUGAUCUGCUGGUUAAAUGGCACGUGUGUAUCAGGUGAUAGAUUUGUUGUAUACGUCAUUA